This 254-nucleotide ribosomal RNA is filed under the name uncultured bacterium. RNAcentral describes it as "partial 16S ribosomal RNA". It matches the Rfam family "Bacterial small subunit ribosomal RNA", at positions 524 to 776 of the family's 1533-position model. The record is from RNAcentral.
CACGUAGGGUGCGAGCGUUGUCCGGGAUUAUUGGGCGUAAAGAGCUCGUAGGCGGUGUGUCACGUCGGCCGUGAAAACCUACAGCUUAACUGUGGGCGUGCGGUCGAUACGGGCAUCACUGGAGUUCGGCAGGGGAGACUGGAAUUCCUGGUGUAGCGGUGAAAUGCGCAGAUAUCAGGAGGAACACCGGUGGCGAAGGCGGGUCUCUGGGCCGAUACUGACACUGAGGAGCGAAAGCGUGGGGAGCGAACAGG